This 468-nucleotide ribosomal RNA is filed under the name uncultured bacterium. RNAcentral's name for it is "partial 16S ribosomal RNA". It matches the Rfam family "Bacterial small subunit ribosomal RNA", at positions 28 to 507 of the family's 1533-position model. The record is from RNAcentral.
GACGAACGCUGGCGGCGUGCUUAACACAUGCAAGUCGAACGGAAAGACACUGAGUUUGUGGUGUGCUCGAGUGCCGAACGCGUGAGUAACACGUGUGUAACCUGCCCUUGACUUUCGGAUAACUUCACGAAACUGGGGCUAAGACCGGAUAGGAGAUCCUGCUGCAUGGUGGGCAUUGGAAAGUUGCGGCGGUUGCGGAUGGACGGGCGGCUUAUCAGCUUGUUGGUUGGGUAGUGGCUUACCAAGGGUUUGACGGGUCGGCGGCCUGGGAGGGUGACCGGCGUCCAUGCGACUGCGGGACGCACCAGACGCGAACGGGAGGCAGCAGUGGGGAACCUUGCACAGUGAGCCGGCGCCUGAUGCGGAGACGCUGCGUUCGGGAUGCCGGCUUUCUGGUUGUGAACCGCUUUCGCCUGUGACGAAGCGGUAGUGACGGUAAUGGGUAAAGAAGCACCGGCUAACUACGUG